Molecule: long non-coding RNA, 512 nt
Filed under: Brassica napus (rape)
Lineage: Eukaryota; Viridiplantae; Streptophyta; Magnoliopsida; Brassicales; Brassicaceae
Description: long non-coding RNA (BNAP_LNC018097)
Source: RNAcentral
AACUCAUCAGUCUCACUCUCACUCUCACUCUCACUCUCACUGUCUUCCGUGUCCUGCUCAUCAGCCUCACUAUUUUCCUUCUCUUUCUCACCCUCUUGCUAAGCAUUGUCAUCAGCCUCUUUCUCUUCCCCUUCUUCUUCAUCAUAUUUUCUCUCAGCCUCUUGCUCAGUAUUCUCGAUGUUAUCCUUCUCUUUCCCAGCCUCUUGCUCAGCAUUAGCUUUGUCCUUCUCAGAAUUAGCUUUCUCCUUCUCUUCAUAUGUACCAUAGUCCCACUGUCGAAAAUCCAUGUCUUCACCAUGACUCGGCUCCACCUUACUCUCAAUAGAAGUUAGCCGUCACUGAUUUCAGCCUCUUUCUCUUCACCUUCUUCUUCAUCCUGUUUCCCUCCAACCUCUUCUUCAUCCGCUUCAAUUUCUUUCCACAGUUUAUCAGCUUGUGCUCUACUUCUCUCCUUCAAUUGCUUCAACUCAUCAGUCUCACUCUCACUCUCACUCUCACUCUCACUGUCUUCC